UUAGCUCAGUUGGAAGAGCAUCUGACUGUAGAAUAUUAUAUCAGAGGGUCGCUAGUUCGAAUCUGGC
Molecule: transfer RNA, 67 nt
Filed under: Hanusia phi
Lineage: Eukaryota; Cryptophyceae; Pyrenomonadales; Geminigeraceae
Rfam family: tRNA
About the family: Transfer RNA (tRNA) molecules are approximately 80 nucleotides in length. Their secondary structure includes four short double-helical elements and three loops (D, anti-codon, and T loops).
Source: RNAcentral